RNAcentral lists this ribosomal RNA (248 nucleotides) under uncultured bacterium. Its description in RNAcentral is "partial 16S ribosomal RNA". It matches the Rfam family "Bacterial small subunit ribosomal RNA", at positions 58 to 334 of the family's 1533-position model. The record is from RNAcentral.
CAAGUCGAGCGAAGACUUCGGUCUUAGCGGCGGACGAGUGAGUAACGCGUGGGAACAUACCUUUCUCUACGGAACAGUCCUGGGAAACUGGGUUUAAUACCGUAUACGCCCUUCGGGGGAAAGAUUUAUCGGGGAGAGAUUGGCCCGCGUUGGAUUAGGUAGUUGGUGAGGUAACGGCUCACCAAGCCGACGAUCCAUAGCUGGUUUGAGAGGAUGAUCAGCCACACUGGGACUGAGACACGGCCCAG